RNAcentral lists this long non-coding RNA (991 nucleotides) under Actinia tenebrosa (Australian red waratah sea anemone). RNAcentral's name for it is "uncharacterized LOC116303186, transcript variant X2". Lineage: Eukaryota; Metazoa; Cnidaria; Anthozoa; Actiniaria; Actiniidae. The record is from RNAcentral.
CUGAGCCUCACCUUGAAAGCAUCAUUGAACNUGAUAUGUUUACAACAAGGAAGAAGGUUGGGCUGUCGCAAAGUCCGAAUAAUCUCCAAUUUCAAGGCAUAUGAUGGCAUGAAGUUUUAGUCAAGUAAAGGCUAGAAACAUAAACAGAAUGAAAGUUAGCGGGCAAAGGUCCGUGAUGGUAGCCUUGUCAGCCAUUGAAGGCUUCCAGUUCUCCAUGGUCUUCUUCGAUGGUUGGGUGUUGCCACACUGAAAAUACUCGCAACUAUCAUUCGCUCUUUCCAAACACUUGAAGAAAGGGUGUCUAAAGGUUUGCUGCUUUACUGUGGGUGCACAAAAGAGCACAAAAAUUCCGUUGGUCUUAUAUCUCCCUUUUCAGAACUCAGACCGACGUUUUUUUAAUAGGUGCAUACCUCAUUACAUUUAGAACUCCCAUUUUCUAGAUAUAGUUAAUAACUAAGCUUUCGCCAAGCUAUUCCUGAUAGAGAAGAUUUUCCCCUCAACCCUCCUAAUUUUCCUCUGCCACUGUACCCCAAAAUUCAGCUGAGAAAAAUAAAUAAAUUUCAUCAAAUUUCGUUAUUUACCUUCUUACUCCACACAGAAGGCUUCCUACAAUCUGCAUUCUUUCUUGCAAUGAAAAAUUUAGCCAUCUUUUGGCUAAAGUAAAUGCAGCCAUGGCCUGGAAUACACUUGGUGCAGAACUCCUCAUCCCUUAUAAUUAUAUACAAAGAGUUGUCUGUUUUCUUGUUGUUCAACAUAUUUACUCCGAUGGCUCUAUCCAUGACUUUUCUUAACUUAACUUUCUUGACCUUAAUGAUAAGGAUUUAUUCUUGGGGAUUUAAGAGGGUAUUCCAUAAUUACUGGACUGUGGCCUCCGACUGUUAGCUUUAAGCAAAAGGUUCAUUGAUAUUUUAAAAAAUAUGGACGGUCUAAACUUUUAGGNCAGCAAGGAAAUGUCUGAUGUUUUGCAUCUUCUUCAUUAAUUUCAACUGAG